RNAcentral lists this ribosomal RNA (981 nucleotides) under uncultured bacterium. RNAcentral's name for it is "bacterial SSU rRNA". It matches the Rfam family "Bacterial small subunit ribosomal RNA", at positions 8 to 986 of the family's 1533-position model. The record is from RNAcentral.
AGAGUUUGAUCAUGGCUCAGAACGAACGCUGGCGGCGUGCUUAACACAUGCAAGUCGCGUGCGCAGUUCCCGUAGCAAUACGGGGAUGGGCGCACGGCGCACGGGUGCGUAACACGUGGGCAAUCUGCCCUCCGAUGGGGAAUAACCCCGCGAAAGCGGGGCUAAUUCCGCAUAACAUUCCGGGGACUUCGGUUCCUGGAUUCAAAGCAGUGAUGCGUCGGAGGAGGAGCCCGCGCCCGAUUAGCUAGUUGGUGAGGUAACGGCUCACCAAGGCAAUGAUCGGUAGCUGGUCUGAGAGGAUGGCCAGCCACACUGGAACUGAGACACGGUCCAGACUCCUACGGGAGGCAGCAGUGGGGAAUCUUGCGCAAUGGGCGAAAGCCUGACGCAGCGACGCCGCGUGGGGGAUGAAGCUUCUCGGAGUGUAAACCCCUUUCGACUGGGACGAAUGCCCGCAAGGGAGUGACGGUACCAGUAGAAGAAGCCCCGGCUAACUACGUGCCAGCAGCCGCGGUAAGACGUAGGGGGCCAGCGUUGUUCGGAAUUACUGGGUGUAAAGGGUUCGUAGGCGGUGUGGCAAGUUGGGAGUGAAAUCUCUGGGCUUAACCCAGAGGCUGCUUCCAAAACUGCUGUGCUUGAGUGUGGGAGAGGCGCGUGGAAUUGCAGGUGUAGCGGUGAAAUGCGUAGAUAUCUGCAGGAACACCCGUGGCGAAAGCGGCGCGCUGGACCACAACUGACGCUGAGGAACGAAAGCUAGGGGAGCAAACAGGAUUAGAUACCCUGGUAGUCCUAGCCCUAAACGAUCAGGACUUGGGGUGCCGCCCGUUCGGGCGUCGUCCCGGAGCUAACGCGUUAAGUCCUGCACCUGGGGGAGUACGGUCGCAAGACUGAAACUCAAAGGAAUUGACGGGGGCCCGCACAAGCGGUGGAACAUGUGGUUCAAUUCGACGCUACGCGAGGAACCUUACCUGGGCCUCGAAA